RNAcentral lists this non-coding RNA (24 nucleotides) under Rattus norvegicus (Norway rat). Lineage: Eukaryota; Metazoa; Chordata; Mammalia; Rodentia; Muridae. The record is from RNAcentral.
UGCGAAAGCUGCUGUCCCUCGAAA